This 253-nucleotide ribosomal RNA is filed under the name uncultured bacterium. RNAcentral's name for it is "partial 16S ribosomal RNA". It matches the Rfam family "Bacterial small subunit ribosomal RNA", at positions 524 to 776 of the family's 1533-position model. The record is from RNAcentral.
UACGUAGGCAGCGAGCGUUGUUCGGAAUUACUGGGCGUAAAGAGUGUGUAGGCGGUGCUCUAAGUUCGGUGUGAAAUCUCCCGGCUUAACUGGGAGGGUGCGCCGGAAACUGGAGUGCUCGAGCGUGGGAGAGGAAAGCGGAAUUCCUGGUGUAGCGGUGAAAUGCGUAGAUAUCAGGAGGAACACCUGCGGUGUAGACGGCUUUCUGGACCAUUGCUGACGCUGAGGCACGAAAGCGUGGGGAGCAAACAGG